ACCUAUUGGACCCGGGGGCGGUACCCGGCGCCUCCACCAAAGUAUGGUCUUUAUUCAUCAUAUUUUGGUGGGGGCGAAACAGGAUCGACAAAGGCGUAAAGAUCGCUCUUUUACUCGGCAUUGUACCACCGUUAUCGGGCUAAAUAAGUAGUUGCAAAUGACAACAACUAUGCGGAAGCACGUCUCGCCGCUUAAGGCGAUAUGUAUGCUUCAAAAUUAAGCCUUAAACCACGCAGGUUUAAGCGGGGUUCGAAGG
This 256-nucleotide transfer-messenger RNA is filed under the name Candidatus Bartonella khokhlovae. Its description in RNAcentral is "partial SsrA". It matches the Rfam family "Alphaproteobacteria transfer-messenger RNA", at positions 81 to 331 of the family's 355-position model. From Rfam's summary of the family: Bacterial tmRNA, also known as 10Sa RNA or SsrA, is named for its dual tRNA and mRNA-like properties. Its role is to liberate the mRNA from a stalled ribosome. To accomplish this part of the tmRNA is used as a reading frame that ends in a translation stop signal. The record is from RNAcentral. Lineage: Bacteria; Pseudomonadati; Pseudomonadota; Alphaproteobacteria; Hyphomicrobiales; Bartonellaceae.